Lineus longissimus is the source of this 2149-nucleotide long non-coding RNA. RefSeq lists it as uncharacterized. The record is from RefSeq and is a predicted model, not a curated record. The transcript has 5 exons. Lineage: Eukaryota; Metazoa; Nemertea; Pilidiophora; Heteronemertea; Lineidae.
GCCAGAGUGAUUGCGGAGCUCCUGGCAAUGCACACCUGGAUCCGUAGCCUAAGAACUGGGGCUGUAUAAUUAGAAUAAGGCAGCCAGGCCCAUAACUUUGGGGUUACCAUUUGCCGCGAGUGCCGUGGAGAAUUUACCAUUCAGAAUCAAAAGUUAAGUGAGAACCAUUAUCUUUUUCAGCCCCUCCACCUGAUGACCCACAUUAACAGGGAAGGAGAUGAAGGCAUUCAGAUUUGGUAUGGCAAUCGUCAUUCUACUGACAAGCCAUGGCCCGCUAACAAAAUUUACCAAGAACCACAGUUCUUUGCUGCGACAUUGGCUGGGUUUUGCUGACCACAAUACCAUUUGAACUGGAAAUGUUGUUGCGAGAAGAAUCCGUCUUGGGAUACAAGCCUAAUAGCUAGAUCAGAGAGCAUGGUUCCCACGAAGGCUGUCCAAGGGAGAUUCAGCAACCUACUUGAUCAGCAUGGUUUCAAGAUCAUUGGGGUCACAAGAGUUUUCAGUUUGAAUAGAUAUGAACUUUGUCCCCGAGGUUGUCCAAGAGAGACUGCACCACACAGUAAAAGGAAAGGUGGUUUAGUGACAAGUACAGUUACCCUCUGCUCAGCCAACACCUCAUGAACUAGACUGAAAAAUAGCACAGGUGAUCAAGACUGAUACCGCACAAUCGUCCUCCUGGUUAACAAGCCAAGACCAAUCCAGAUGGGGAGGGUUGGCCCUCCAACACCACUACCAAUGCUCUCAGCUGGGAUCAGUGGACUGCAGCAAUAUCUUACUGAAGACAAAGAUGAGGGAAUCUACAAUGUUGAUGCAAGAUUGCCCUGUGAUGUCAAGGCGUCUUUGACUACAACGCUUUGGUUCACCAGUCGGUCCUCGAAUGGUAAAGUUUGGACACAACAUCCUGAACAUGAAGAAUAUUCCGAAAGACAACACAAACAAUAUUUGGACAUUCAAUUUUUCAGCUGAGAUUAGGACCUUUUUUCAAGUUAGGACUAAAGCCCCUGGGCCUGCUUUAGGCCUAUAACUGUAGUUUGUGCUCUGUAGUAUGUGAUUUGAAAAGAUUGGAGUAAGGAUUGUACAAUGGAACAAGUGUCAUUUUGUUUGCCACAGUAACUUAAGGCAGUGUUAGUGACCCAUUUGUUUUCAGUUUACAAAGCCAUCAUGAUCAACUGCAUUGAUCCCUCAAAAGAUUGUUGGAGUGACUCCAUUAAAUGUAACAAAAAUAUCCAACACCUGGUAUUCUAGUUACUGUAGGUUAGCUACUGAAGUGACCUUUUUGUUUUCACUUUUAAAAACCUAUGCGAUUAUCCGCACUGAAGGUCCCUCCAGAGAUUGUUGGACUGGGUCCAUUAAAUGUGACAAAAAUAUCCAACACCUAUUUACAAAUGAAGUGAGGGGGUCAGCCUUUUGGUGUAACUCCAUAUAACUGUCUGGUGAUUUCGCUCUGGGCUUGUGACAUUCUGAUCGGUCUGAAAUAGUCAUUGUCGCCCAUCCCUCAAUUUGAGGCCUGUGUCCCGAUGGUGGCGUUGAAUGGCAAAAUCAAAGGGGCAUGACGGCGGUUAAACCUAUUGCGAAUGGGCAGCAUCACAACCAGUUCUGAGAUCUGGGGGUGGUGUAGGAUAUCUGGUUACCACGCACACAUCUCUUGAAUUUGCGGUGGGUUGGUACCCCACGCUACGUAAGGGGAGGUUCUGGGUAAGACUUGGUCCACGUGAAUAGGUUGUACCUGAAAGAUGAGAAGUUGCGAAUGGACGCCUUAGAAUAUGUCCUUCGACCAGCUAGUGCUAACCCGGUCACUGUCUCCAGGUCACCACACCUUGGUCAAUGAGCGGGCGAAGAACCCAAUGGCUCCGUCAGGAGUACAUCGUCAACUUCAGCCCGUAGUCAAACCGGUACACGUACAAAUAUCUUAGCUGAGAGUGGGGGACGUACUUGCUUCUCAUCGGGGUAAUACAGUACCACUGUAUACAAUGACCCCAUUUUAGUUGGAUUUUAUUGAGGAGUGGACGAUAAUGAGAAUUUCAGGCCAGUCCGAUUGUCACCAGUUCAGAGGGCGAUUACCUGAUAGUUAUGUGGCAUUCCGUCAAACGGUGAACUCUUUCACAUCCUUCGUAAAUUAGCGUUGCUUGUUACAUGUCACAUCCAAUGG